AUUGAACGCUGGCGGCAUGCUUUACACAUGCAAGUCGAACGGCAGCGCGGGCUUCGGCCUGGCGGCGAGUGGCGAACGGGUGAGUAAUACAUCGGUACGUGCCCAGUAGCGUGGGAUAGCCUGGCGAAAGCCGGAUUAAUACCGCAUACGACCCGAGGGUGAAAGCGGGGGAUCUUCGGACCUCGCGCUAUUGGAGCGGCCGAGGGCAGAUUAGCUAGUUGGUGGGGUAAAGGCCUACCAAGGCGACGAUCUGUAUCUGAUCUGAGAGGAGGACCAGCGACACUGGGACUGAGACACGGCCCAGACUCCUACGGGAGGCAGCAGUGGGGAAUGUUGGACAAUGGGCGAAAGCCUGAUCCAGCAAUGCCGCGUGUGUGAUGAAGGCCUUCGGGUUGUAAAACACUUUUGGCGGGAACGAAAAGGACUGUGCCAAUACCACGGUUGGAUGACGGUACCCGCAGAAUAAGCACCGGCUAACUACGUG
RNAcentral lists this ribosomal RNA (484 nucleotides) under uncultured bacterium. RNAcentral's name for it is "partial 16S ribosomal RNA". It matches the Rfam family "Bacterial small subunit ribosomal RNA", at positions 29 to 507 of the family's 1533-position model. The record is from RNAcentral.